RNAcentral lists this long non-coding RNA (2012 nucleotides) under Theobroma cacao (cacao). RNAcentral describes it as "long non-coding RNA (TCAC_LNC005615)". The record is from RNAcentral. Lineage: Eukaryota; Viridiplantae; Streptophyta; Magnoliopsida; Malvales; Malvaceae.
UAGCGUCUAGGGUCACUCCCUAUCCAUAGCGAGAUCUUGCCACGUGGCCUGUGAUAGGAUCUCGACACAUGUAAAACAUGUGGUUUGGCAUGUUCACGACUGAGCGUGUGCUUGAAACAUAAUCAUCCAAGAGCUUUGUAAUUUCCACGGUGAGCACCCUAUCCCAUCUCAUCCAGCCAACCAUUGUAAUGGCUUCAAUGGUACUUGGUAAGGUGUUGAGCGAGUCAUAGUAAUGAAGUUUUAUGCUGGCAAUUCUCUUGACUAUAAGCUACGCAACCUAAAUACAUAGGCUUAUGCAAAAAGCUCAUGGUUACAAGCACUUUCUUAUAUGGCUUAUACAAAAUUACAUAGGCUUACCAAUUGAGGAGAGCAUCAGGUCUGUCUCGUUCCCCAACUUCAGGUAUAUUGAUUUCAACUUUCAACUUCCAAGUUCCAACAUCGUUGCUUUUACUUGUAGAAGUGUUCCUACCUUGUAUUAUGGUGGACUGGGAAUAAGGGAUAAGGUUUAAGUUAGCAAUCGGGGUUCAACUGAAUUAACAAUCAGGUUAGAUCUCAAAAUAGGUUUGGAUUUAGGCAUUUAUGCCAUAAUACAGCAAAACACUUAUAAUUUCAUUCAUCAAGUAUUUACUAAAAAUGAAGAUUACAUAAAUAUUUAUAAAGAUUGCUAGAUACUUCUAAACCAACUACAACCAGGGUCAACAAUAAGAAACUAACUUGAAACCCCUAGUAAGCAACCAACUUGGACCCCAGAAUGAGAAAACCUAAAUUCCUUGAAUAAUGUUAAAAUAAAAUAAAAUAAACAAUGCAAAACUAAAUUACACAAGAACAAGUAAUGAAUGAGGAUCCUUGAUGACUGCAUCAACAGUUUUCCCAUGGUUCCACUUUAAACUCUCCAUACUGCAUCCAUAGGUUUCCCACGGUUCCACUUUUAAACUCUCCAUAUACUUUUCUGGUGACCGAUUUACUUACCAACAGACUGGUCUUGUCUCUCUUUAACAUUAACACCAGUAGAGGUAGGGUGGCGCUUGAUCUUUCGCAAAGCUCUUUCUGUGUUGUACACUUCAACCUACAUUGAUUUAUGAUGAAACUCAAUUGCGGAGCAAAUAAUACAAGCUUUAAUAGGUAAAGUACUAUUUGUAACAAGCAAUUUGACAGAUGAAAUGAAGGAUAAUGGAAAUUUUACAUAAAGAAAUGAAAUAAGACAUACUCGCCAGUUUCUAAAGUUGUUUCCCUAAGCAAAUGAUACCAUAAAAUGUCAUAUAGCUGCAUGAUAACAACUAGAAUUUUAGGGAAGAAGUGGAAGAACUUUGUUCUAGGUUGAAUAUCAAUACAAAGCUUCAUUCUAGGGAAGAAGUAGAAUUUGGCUAACCAUAUAAUAUAGGACUGCUUUUCUUUUCCUGUUUCUGAAUUAGUUAGGUUACAACACAAUUUUUUUUUCUGUUUAGUAGUUGGAGACAAGCAGCAAAGUAGUCAGUGUCAUGAGUCUGAGAGAACUAGUAUACUGGAUUUUUUUGUGCUUCAGUUAUCUGUUUUAACAACCAAAUCUACCAAGAAUUUCAAAAUCAAAGAGCUUAUAAUUUAUACAAAGUUCUCCACUUUCAAAGGUUAUCCUUUGUCAUUUAGUUUCAUAUUACAUCACUGCAUGUUAUCAAAAUUUCAAAGUUUUCUUUCUCCCUUCACAUUUAGCACUUUAGUACAACCAAUUAUAUUUCAGACACCCAACUAUAGAUUUGUAAAGAAAUCUUUAUACCAUGACAAGAAAAUAAAUUAAGUAGCUAAGAAGAAGUCAGGUCCUUCAAGUUUAAGAAAACUAUUUUGAAGAUAAUAUUCUUACGGCUUCUUUAAUUUGCUUUGUUAUUCCCGCAGCCUUUGCCGUAGCAAGCUGCAAACAUUGCAUGAUAACUCUUUGAGGGACACCUUCUCCACCAGCCUUUUGAAUUGCACAAAUAUCACCAUUUGCGUUAACUGUUGUAGUCAUUCGUCCACCCAUAACAGCUUCCUCAUUGUGGGUU